RNAcentral lists this ribosomal RNA (500 nucleotides) under uncultured bacterium. RNAcentral's name for it is "partial 16S ribosomal RNA". It matches the Rfam family "Bacterial small subunit ribosomal RNA", at positions 30 to 523 of the family's 1533-position model. The record is from RNAcentral.
AUUGAACGCUGGCGGAAUGCUUUACACAUGCAAGUCGAACGGCAGCACGGGGGCAACCCUGGUGGCGAGUGGCGAACGGGUGAGUAAUACAUCGGAACGUGCCCAGUCGUGGGGGAUAACGUAGCGAAAGUUACGCUAAUACCGCAUACGAUCUACGGAUGAAAGCGGGGGACCGUAAGGCCUCGCGCGAUUGGAGCGGCCGAUGUCAGAUUAGGUAGUUGGUGAGGUAAAGGCUCACCAAGCCGACGAUCUGUAGCUGGUCUGAGAGGACGACCAGCCACAGUGGGACUGAGACACGGCCCAGACUCCUACGGGAGGCAGCAGUGGGGAAUUUUGGACAAUGGGCGCAAGCCUGAUCCAGCCAUUCCGCGUGCAGGACGAAGGCCUUCGGGUUGUAAACUGCUUUUGUACGGAACGAAAAGGCUCUGGUUAAUACCUGAGGCUCAUGACGGUACCGUAAGAAUAAGCACCGGCUAACUACGUGCCAGCCGCCGCCGCCG